This 459-nucleotide ribosomal RNA is filed under the name uncultured bacterium. Its description in RNAcentral is "partial 16S ribosomal RNA". It matches the Rfam family "Bacterial small subunit ribosomal RNA", at positions 338 to 795 of the family's 1533-position model. The record is from RNAcentral.
CCUACGGGAGGCAGCAGUGAGGAAUCUUGGUCAAUGGCCGGAAGGCUGAACCAGCCAAGCCGCGUGAAGGACGAAGGUGCCAAGCAUUGUAAACUUCUUUUGUCAAGGGACAAAAUCAGGCUCGAGAGCCUGACCGAGGAGACUUGAAGAAAAAGCAUCGGCUAACACCGUGCCAGCAGCCGCGGUAAUACGGGGGAUGCGCGCGUUAUCCGGAUCUUUUGGGUUUAAGGGGUGCGUAGGCGGACUGUUAAGAUAGCGGUAAAAGCCCGGGGCUCAACCCCGGCGGGCCGUGGAAACUGGCUGUCUUGAGAUGUCGAGAGGUAUGCGGAAUGCGCAGUGUAGCGGUGAAAUGCUUAGAUAUUGCGCAGAACUCCGAUUGCGAAGGCAGCAUACCGGCGGCGAUCUGACGCUGAGGCACGAAAGCGUGGGUAUCGAACAGGAUUAGAUACCCCUGUAGUC